ACGAACCCUUAGAUUCUGUCUUAUAUAAAUUUUUUUUAUAAUUAAUAUUUUUAUUGUUGUUAGAUGAUAAAACAUGAUUAAUACUUUAUACGUGACUUAUUUUUUUAAUUUUUUUAAUAUUUUUUUUAAAUAAGACGGACGUUGGACACGAAAAUUCAGG
RNAcentral lists this microRNA precursor (160 nucleotides) under Oryza sativa Indica Group (long-grained rice). Its description in RNAcentral is "MIR812 microRNA precursor family". It matches the Rfam family "MIR812 microRNA precursor family", at positions 27 to 193 of the family's 205-position model. The record is from Rfam by way of RNAcentral. Lineage: Eukaryota; Viridiplantae; Streptophyta; Magnoliopsida; Poales; Poaceae.